RNAcentral lists this long non-coding RNA (388 nucleotides) under Chinchilla lanigera (long-tailed chinchilla). Its description in RNAcentral is "lncRNA (ENSCLAG00000027207.1)". The record is from RNAcentral. Lineage: Eukaryota; Metazoa; Chordata; Mammalia; Rodentia; Chinchillidae.
AAAGAGAAAAGCAGAUUGACAGAACACCUCCGAGAAGUUUAAAAAUUGACUCAACAAAAUCUGUAUGUGAUAUACACCUUUCAAAUUAGAGAAGGCAUAGACACUGCUCCCCACAACGGGCUGGAACAACUGGCGACCCCCUGCGUAUGCUGGGUGGAAGAGGGCUGGGAUUACAGGAAGGAGCCACCACACCCAGCUGAAAACACUCAGUUUACUAACGUUACCUUCUGUCUGCUCCUGUGAGAGGAAGCCACACUGGGCUCCCCGGAGAUGGGGGACGGAUCCCAUGGGUCUCGAGAAGCGGCGCAGGAAAGGGCCCCUGAGACCACAGACACUCAGGCCCUAACUGGGUAAAGGAAACUGAAAAUGCUCCUUCAUUAACAAACUU